This 72-nucleotide transfer RNA is filed under the name Camelus bactrianus (Bactrian camel). It matches the Rfam family "tRNA". Rfam says of the family: Transfer RNA (tRNA) molecules are approximately 80 nucleotides in length. Their secondary structure includes four short double-helical elements and three loops (D, anti-codon, and T loops). The record is from Rfam by way of RNAcentral. RNAcentral also lists the same sequence under 2 other names. Lineage: Eukaryota; Metazoa; Chordata; Mammalia; Artiodactyla; Camelidae.
GGGAGUAUAGCUCAAUGGUAGAGCAUGUGCUCAGCAUGUGCAAAGUCCUGGAUUUAAUUUCCAGAACCUCCA